AGCCACGCCGCGUGAGCGAUGAAGGCCUUCGGGUCGUAAAGCUCUGUGGGGAGAGAAGAAUAAAGCCUGUGAAGAAUGGGCCUUGACGGUAUCUCCUUAGCAAGCACCGGCUAACUCCGUGCCAGCAGCCGCGGUAAUACGGAGGGUGCAAACGUUGCUCGGAAUCAUUGGGCGUAAAAGCGCACGUAGGCGGCGAAGCAAGUCGGGUGUGAAAGCCCUGGGCUCAACCCAGGAAGUGCAUUCGAAAACUAUUUCGCUUGAAUCUCGGAGGGGGUCAGAGAAUUCCCGGUGUAGAGGUGAAAUUCGUAGAUAUCGGGAGGAAUACCAGUGGCGAAGGCGCUGACCUGGACGAAGAUUGACGCUGAGGUGCGAAAAGCGCGGGGGAGCAAACAGGAUUAGAUACCCUGGUAGUCCGCGCUGUAAACGAUGAGUGCUAGACGGUGGAGGUAUUGACCCCUUCGCUGCCGAAGCUAACGCGUUAAGCACUCCGCCUGGGGAGUACGGUCGCAAGACU
This 514-nucleotide ribosomal RNA is filed under the name uncultured bacterium. RNAcentral describes it as "bacterial SSU rRNA". It matches the Rfam family "Bacterial small subunit ribosomal RNA", at positions 390 to 895 of the family's 1533-position model. The record is from RNAcentral.